GGAGGGGUACCCAAGUGGUCAACGGGGGCAGACUGUAAAUCUGCUGGCGAUGCCUUCGUAGGUUCAAAUCCUACCCCCUCCACCA
Molecule: transfer RNA, 85 nt
Filed under: Gammaproteobacteria bacterium RIFCSPLOWO2_02_FULL_56_15
Lineage: Bacteria; Pseudomonadati; Pseudomonadota; Gammaproteobacteria
Also listed under: 1 other name
Description: tRNA-Tyr
Rfam family: tRNA
About the family: Transfer RNA (tRNA) molecules are approximately 80 nucleotides in length. Their secondary structure includes four short double-helical elements and three loops (D, anti-codon, and T loops).
Source: RNAcentral